This 660-nucleotide ribosomal RNA is filed under the name uncultured fungus. RNAcentral describes it as "eukaryotic LSU rRNA". It matches the Rfam family "Eukaryotic large subunit ribosomal RNA", at positions 23 to 664 of the family's 3401-position model. The record is from RNAcentral. Lineage: Eukaryota; Fungi.
ACCCGCUGAACUUAAGCAUAUCAAUAAGCGGAGGAAAAGAAACUAACAAGGAUUCCCCUAGUAACGGCGAGUGAAGCGGGAAGAGCUCAAAUUUGUAAUCUGGCGGUCUCAGGCCGUCCGAGUUGUAGUCUGGAGAAGUGUUUUCCGCGUCGGACCGUGUACAAGUCCCUUGGAACAGGGCGUCAUAGAGGGUGAGAAUCCCGUCUUUGACACGGACUGCCGAUGCUUUGUGAUGCGCUCUCGAAGAGUCGAGUUGUUUGGGAAUGCAGCUCAAAACGGGUGGUAAAUUCCAUCUAAAGCUAAAUAUUGGCGAAAGACCGAUAGCGAACAAGUACCGUGAGGGAAAGAUGAAAAGCACUUUGGAAAGAGAGUUAAACAGUACGUGAAAUUGUUGAAAGGGAAACGAUUGAAGUCAGUCGCGUCUCCCGGGACUCAGCCUUGCUUCUGCUCGGUGCAUUUCCUGGGGUGACGGGCCAGCAUCAAUUUCGACCGUCGGAGAAAGGCUGGGGGAAUGUGGCACCUUCGGGUGUGUUAUAGCCCUCGGUCGUAUGCGACGGUUGGGAUUGAGGAUCGCAGCACGCCUUCAUGGCCGGGGUUCGCCCACGUAACGUGCUUAGGAUGCUGGCGUAAUGGCUUUAAACGACCCGUCUUGAAACACGG